RNAcentral lists this ribosomal RNA (239 nucleotides) under Thalassiosira antarctica. Its description in RNAcentral is "partial Bacterial large subunit ribosomal RNA". It matches the Rfam family "Bacterial large subunit ribosomal RNA", at positions 1 to 263 of the family's 2925-position model. Lineage: Eukaryota; Bacillariophyta; Thalassiosirophyceae; Thalassiosirales; Thalassiosiraceae. The record is from RNAcentral.
CUGGAAAAGGGCGUAUGGGGAAUGCCUAGGCUCUCAGAGGCGAGGAAGGACGUGAUAAGCUGCGAAAAGCUGCGGGGAUCGGCACACACGAUAUGAUCCGCAGGUAUCCGAAUGGGGCAACCCACUAUACUGAAGGUAUAGUAUCCGCAAGGAGGCAAACCCGGGGAACUGAAACAUCUAAGUACCCGGAGGAGAAGAAAACAAAAGUGAUUCCGCUAGUAGUGGCGAGCGAACGCGGA